ACAACAAAGGUGCUUCGAAGGAGCUCCCAAAUAGCAUAAAUAGAGCCUUGGCGACACUCUACACCAGUGCACUCCAAAGUUGGUCCGUCUAAAGUAUCGCUGAGUCUAAAAUACUGCUGAAAGUCAACCGUUAUUAAAUAUGUCUCACGUUUAUGGUAGAGCUAACGAUCACGUUUCCCGUGCAAAGGUUUGCACAACUGAAGAAUUGCGGGCUGAAAAAGAAGCCACAAAAAAGGAGAAAAAAUGCGUCAGGUUUGCAACGCUCCCAUCACUCCACAACGGCUGGGAGCACACAAUCCGACCAACGACAGAGAGAGUGCGGGACGUACAAAGGCUAUCUUUUACGGUGUGGUCUGCUGGGGCGGCAACAUCUCUGCUGCAACAGGAAGAAACUGAACAGGCUGAUUCGAAGGGCCAGCUCUGUUGUAGGAUGCCCUCUGGACUCAGUGGAGGUGGUGAGUGACAGGAGAAUGUUUGAAUGGUUAAGCUUUCAUCCCUGUUGGACAACAUCUCCCACUCCAUGCAGGAGAAUCUGACAGCUCCUUCAGUGGCAGGCUGCGGCACCCACGGAGAGGUUUCGCAGGUCUUUCCUCCCCACUGCUAUCAGACUCUACAACAAAGACUUUUGCAGCUGAUCAAACCCACACGUGCAAUAAGACUGCUAUAAGUGC
Molecule: long non-coding RNA, 671 nt
Organism: Astatotilapia calliptera (eastern happy)
Lineage: Eukaryota; Metazoa; Chordata; Actinopteri; Cichliformes; Cichlidae
Source: Ensembl